GAAGGUGGUGCGCCAACUAUUUAUAGAGGCAGCCAACCACGGUAGGUUCAGUGACUGGGGUGAAGUCGUAACAAGGUAGCCGUAGGGGAACCUGCGGCUGGAUCACCUCCUUUCUAAGGAUGAUCUUAGCUGAAAGUUUACUUUCACGUAGAUCACUUUUUAGCAGCUCUUAAAUGAGCUUUAGUAGUCUUCGGACUACAUCAUAGACCGAACCGUCCUCAUAUCUCUUCAGUAAUAAUAAUUUUGCAGGUCAUCGAUCUGUUAAGGGUCGGUAGCUCAGGUGGUUAGAGCGCACGCCUGAUAAGCGUGAGGUCGGAGGUUCAAGUCCUCCUCGACCCACCAUAAAAUGGGGCGUUAGCUCAGCUGGGAGAGCACCUGCUUUGCAAGCAGGGGGUCAUCGGUUCGAUCCCGAUACGCUCCACCAUUUCCUUCAGAUUAUUAUAUCAAUUCCGAUUAGAUCAUUAAGGACUGUAAGCAGUUUUUAAUCAUCCAAUCGGAUGGCGAACCUUCGGGUUCACUUUUACAUCGUUUAGAGAGCAUAUAAAACACGAGACGUAAGUUUCUUGUUUGGACCACUUCUUCGGAAAAGGUUAGGAAAUGAAUAUUUUGAGGCUGAAGAGCUUUGAGAGACUAGAUUGUUAGCUGGUUCGCAGUAUCAUAGGUAACUAUGAAGCAUAAUCAGACU
This 685-nucleotide unclassified non-coding RNA is filed under the name uncultured marine bacterium. RNAcentral describes it as "partial contains 16S ribosomal RNA, 16S-23S ribosomal RNA intergenic spacer, and 23S ribosomal RNA". The stretch from base 1 to 113 matches the Rfam family "Bacterial small subunit ribosomal RNA", at positions 1423 to 1533 of the family's 1533-position model. The record is from RNAcentral.